UAAAAUGAACGGGGUUUUCCGGUUUUGGGGGUGAACGAGCGGGGAGGCUGGCUUGGGCGGAGGUGGAAGGCGGGAUGUUCUCGCGGUGGCGGGGCAGCGAACGAGGGCGUAGUUAGCCAGGCUGGUUUUAGGUCGAGUUUAGGGAGCGGAGCGGAGCGGCACGGGGCCGACCACGGGCGACCGGACGGAGCAAGGAGAGCCACAGCCUAACCUCUCUAGCUAAAGGUACAGGGACGGAACAUGUCAUCGGUCGACAGCGAACGACAACGUAGACGCGUCGACCACGUACUGGGGGGGGAGGGUUUAGCAUCAGCGGCGGCCGUGUGGUAGACGGGUGGUAACGAGUUGGUGGCGAGGGUAGGGUAGGCCAACGCUCGAAACCGGAACUAAAACCACAGAUGGGGCAGAUCCCAAAGUUCGAGUUCGAGUCCCAGCCGCAAAGUCAAAGACGUUCACCUCCGCCGUUCGAUCUCUGUCGUUGACGUAUUAAACGUUCUUUUAGCAAAAGCCCCGGUAUGGCUACUAAAAGAACGUUCAACACGUCAACAACAGAGUUCGAACGACGGAGGGAAACGGUCUUGAUACCUUAAACUUGAAUGUCAAUUCACUACGGUGUAGUCCAAACGGUUUUCAUAAUUUUCUCUGUACCACUUUUCGUACUAACGGGAUAGUCACAGUACUUUCAUGACUUAGUGUACCAUUAUACACGUUGAAAUAAACUGGCUCAUAUUAAGUAUGUUAUUUACAACUCUCCUGUUUAUCCAAUAUCUUAUUUUGUAUAACGUUCACCCUUUGGAAACCAAAACAAAGGAAACCCAUGAAGUCAGGUUACUGACAGUUCCGCGUGGGUUUUUUUGACUGAAUCACUACAGUCCAACUUGUAUAUAAAUAUGUGGGGUGUACUAAACAACAGAAUCAGUAGAGAUUAAGAGUGUUUACGAAGACACUCCGUUUAAUUGGACAAUCGUACACUCGAAGAUUUCUUCAUGAGGGAGGCAAGCCUUAAUGAACAGUGUUUUUACCUAUUUUUACCUACAUAGAUGUUGAUUUUAUGUAGAUCUAUGUAAGUAAAGAACCUACUCAUUAAGGCUUGCCUCCCUCAUACUCGAUCUCCGUCUUGUCCAGACCUUUGACCACUAAUAAGACGACCUUCUUCUAAAGUGCACCGUCAGCUUCCAACGUCAACAAACUAUGUCUUGACAGUAGACUUCCUAAACAUACACAACACCUAGAAAAAGUCUUCUACCCGUGUACAUGUACAAAGGAAUCGAGGGUAAUAAGGAAAACUAAAAGACAAUACAACCAGAAUGUAUAAAGUAAAAGACAGGCUCCAAGUUUCCUCCAAUCCUAAAGCUACUCUCGACAUACGUGUUCUCGAGAAAAGUUUACCAAAGGAUGUACUCUCAAGGAUCGGACAAACGACAAAGAAGAACCGGGGUUGUAAACGUAGCAGAACACCGGAUAUUAGGAGCUCCAACAAGACAUUGACGUCUUAAAUCACUUCAUAAACUCGGAAGACAAUCUUCCCUGCUACUCGAUAGUAUCACUCUUUAUAUGAGCACAACCAACUAUGGUAAGAUCAACUCGAAAUUACAAAUCAAGACAUCAACUAGACUACCGGGUAAACUUACAUUUUGUUUACCACGACGUCUGUCGUCUUAGAAUCCAAGUGGAGUUUAUUCGAAGUUCUCAGUUCAUCUAACGUCAAGUCAAACUACGAGUGUCUGAUCAAAGUAGUCCACGUGGUGACAUUCCGUAAAACCAGUCGAACCUAAGCUAAUCGUCACAAAUAUACACAGUUCUCAAGAUUAGACCGAAACGAUUUGGGAUGUUAAACAAACAUCCGUUCUUAUCGUCAAGACGGUUAUGGAAAGCAACAUAUUUCCACAAAAGUUGUGAACCCUCAACCGUGUCAUAGGUACGGUAAGUUGUCCCUAAAUAAUUCUAAAUAUCCUCAACCAUCUCUAGUUUUAGAAUAGGUAAACCAGUCGUCAACUAGUAGCCACCACCACAAGACACAGGUUAUCGAGUUUAUAAAAGAAAAGACUCUGGAACGUUGUCAUCAAUCAAACUCCACUUGUCAGACCUCGAUCAUCAAUCAAACUCCACUUGUCAGACCUCGAUCAUCAGUCAAACUCCACUUGUCAGACCUCGACCUAGAACUUACGCUCCCGUAAAAGGGUUAAAUGUACCCGGUUGAUGAUAGUGAAAAAUCAAACCGAAGUCUGAACACGGAUAAUUCAAUUAUGAGGUACGGCAGACGGCUACGGAGUCAAUCUAAUUAAGUGUACUAAGAUCUUUG
This 2302-nucleotide ribosomal RNA is filed under the name Triticum aestivum (bread wheat). RNAcentral describes it as "partial small subunit ribosomal RNA". The record is from RNAcentral. Lineage: Eukaryota; Viridiplantae; Streptophyta; Magnoliopsida; Poales; Poaceae.